GUGCCCGUAGCUCAGCUGGAUAGAGUGACAGACUCCGACUCUGUAGGUCGAAGGUUCGAAUCCUUUCGGGCACGCCA
RNAcentral lists this transfer RNA (77 nucleotides) under Eubacteriales bacterium OttesenSCG-928-A19. RNAcentral describes it as "tRNA-Arg". It matches the Rfam family "tRNA". From Rfam's summary of the family: Transfer RNA (tRNA) molecules are approximately 80 nucleotides in length. Their secondary structure includes four short double-helical elements and three loops (D, anti-codon, and T loops). Further hydrogen bonds mediate the characteristic L-shaped molecular structure. tRNAs have two regions of fundamental functional importance: the anti-codon, which is responsible for specific mRNA codon recognition, and the 3' end, to which the tRNAs corresponding amino acid is attached (by aminoacyl-tRNA synthetases). tRNAs cope with the degeneracy of the genetic code in two manners: having more than one tRNA (with a specific anti-codon) for a particular amino acid; and 'wobble' base-pairing, i.e. permitting non-standard base-pairing at the 3rd anti-codon position. Lineage: Bacteria; Bacillati; Bacillota; Clostridia; Eubacteriales. The record is from RNAcentral.